GUUCCUGUAGUUGAACUUUAUCAACGGCGAUUUUUCAGGUCGAAGGUCCUGGUUAAAGCCCAGGUGGGAACU
Molecule: transfer RNA, 72 nt
Filed under: Hirundo albigularis
Lineage: Eukaryota; Metazoa; Chordata; Aves; Passeriformes; Hirundinidae
Description: tRNA-Glu
Rfam family: tRNA
About the family: Transfer RNA (tRNA) molecules are approximately 80 nucleotides in length. Their secondary structure includes four short double-helical elements and three loops (D, anti-codon, and T loops).
Source: RNAcentral